This 257-nucleotide long non-coding RNA is filed under the name Olea europaea (common olive). RNAcentral describes it as "long non-coding RNA (OEUR_LNC004866)". Lineage: Eukaryota; Viridiplantae; Streptophyta; Magnoliopsida; Lamiales; Oleaceae. The record is from RNAcentral.
AGGAAGGAUAGACUUUGUUGGAACACUUUGAGAAGUGGAAGAAAGUUGCCCAUUGAGUUGAUUAUCAGAACCUUGGAAAUGAUAUAAACCAUCUUCAAGUUUCCCUACCCCAAUCGUCUUCCAGGUGAAAAGAUCCUGAAUGAAGCAAAAGUGAUGUAAGAAUAACAACAAACAUCUAUGUUUGAUAACAAGAUUGCUGGCGGAAAUCAGAUUGAAGUUGAAGCUUGGCACAACUAAUACAUCAGUUAAGGUUAAUG